AAGGCGGAACCUGAAAAGCCUAUAACAGAGUAGGAC
This 36-nucleotide non-coding RNA is filed under the name unclassified sequences. Its description in RNAcentral is "DUF805b RNA". It matches the Rfam family "DUF805b RNA". From Rfam's summary of the family: Bacteroidetes, Chlorobi (1 example), Proteobacteria. Lineage (Flavobacteria) The record is from RNAcentral.